This 460-nucleotide ribosomal RNA is filed under the name uncultured bacterium. Its description in RNAcentral is "partial 16S ribosomal RNA". It matches the Rfam family "Bacterial small subunit ribosomal RNA", at positions 338 to 795 of the family's 1533-position model. The record is from RNAcentral.
CCUACGGGCGGCAGCAGUGAGGAAUAUUGGUCAAUGGACGAGAGUCUGAACCAGCCAAGUAGCGUGAAGGAUGACUGCCCUAUGGGUUGUAAACUUCUUUUAUCUGGGAAUAAAACAGGGUAUGCAUACCCUCUUGUAUAUACCAUAUGAAUAAGGCUCGGGUAACUCCGUUCCCGCCGCCGCGGUUAUACGGAGGAUCCGAGCGUUAUCCUGUUUUCAUGGGUUUGAAUGGAUAGUAGGUUGAUUGUUAAGUCAGUUGUGAAAGUUUGCGGCUCAACCGUAACAUUGCAGUUGAAACUGGCAGUCUUGAGUACAGUAGAGGUGAGCGGAAUUCGCGGUGUAGCGGUGAAAUGCUUAGACAUCACGAAGAACUCCGAUUGCGAAGGCAGCUCACUGGACUGCAACUGACACUGAUGCUCGAAAGUGUGGGUAUCAAACAGGAUUAGAUACCCCGGUAGUC